AUUGAACGCUGGCGGCAGGCCUAACACAUGCAAGUCGAGCGGAUGCAGGGUGCUUGCUCGUGGUUUCAGGUGGGGAGGGGCGAGCAGUGGCUAGGAACCUGCCUGUCAGUUGUGGCUAACGUCCGGAAGUGGGGGCUAAUACGGUAAUAGUCCUGAGGACGAAAGGGGGGGAGCUUCGGACCUUACGCUAUUAGAUGAGCCGAGGUCGGAUUAGCUAGUUGGUGGGGUAAAGGCCCACCAAGGCGACGAUCCGUAGCUGGUCUGAGAGGAUGAUCAGCCACACUGGAACUGAGACACGGUCCAGACUCCUACGGGAGGCAGCAGUGGGGAAUAUUGGACAAUGGGCGCAAGCCUGAUCCAGCCAUGCCGCGUGUGUGAAGAAGGUCUUCGGAUUGUAAAGCACUUUUAGUUGGAAAGAAAGGCAGUAAGUUAAUACCUCGCUGUUUUGACGUUACCAACAGAAUAAGCACCGGCUAACUUCGUG
Molecule: ribosomal RNA, 484 nt
Filed under: uncultured bacterium
Lineage: Bacteria
Description: partial 16S ribosomal RNA
Rfam family: Bacterial small subunit ribosomal RNA
Source: RNAcentral